AGCGUAUCCCCGCAGGCUGGCUGUACCCGGUUUGGAGGCAAACCGGAUGUGACGUAUGCCAGUGGCGUACUCCCUGCCCCCAGAUAGGUACUUGUACGCCUAGGGAAAGACGCUGCUAGGUGCUGCUGCUAAAUCCCUGUGGUUUCUGCCAGCCACAUGCGGCCAUUGCCGGCUCACGUAGGUUCGUUCGCGUGGUCUUGUUACGCCUCGCUGGAUCGUGUUCAGUCAUGCCGUCCUUGCGCGGCGUGAUUGUCGUGCGGCUGGCGUGAGCUGUCUCCACGAUGCGCUUCGAGCGUGUCGAUUUCGCCGUUCUUUAUGUUGGCGUUAACGACCUUGAAAGCAACAUGGAUCCACAAGAAAUGUGCGACAACAUCAAGGUAAGUCUACUGAAAUCACAAAAUUUGAAACAAUAAGCGCUAAUAGUUGUGUUUUCUUUUAAAUUUUAGGCCUUGAUUGUUCAACGAGACGGCCCCCGUCGUGCUGGUUUUCAAGGUGCUCCCUCGCUGCCUAGAAGAUGCUGAUGCGGAAUAGAAAAUGCAAAAACGUCGCUUGCUCAACCGCAAAUUGACGGCUACGCUGAAGCGCAUGCCGUGUCUGCGGAGUUUGAACCCCGAGGUAUGGAACCCCUUUUUCCAGCGGCAUGCCGUUACAUACCGUCAGGAACACGCUUGGCUUAUUUCUGACUCGGUAAAAAAUGUUUCACUUUU
This 707-nucleotide long non-coding RNA is filed under the name Dermacentor andersoni. RNAcentral's name for it is "uncharacterized LOC126524389". The record is from RNAcentral. Lineage: Eukaryota; Metazoa; Arthropoda; Arachnida; Ixodida; Ixodidae.